GUGGGUAGUUUGACUGGGGCGGUCUCCUCCCAAAGAGUAACGGAGGAGCACGAAGGUUAGCUAAUCCUGGUCGGACAUCAGGAGGUUAGUGCAAUGGCAUAAGCUAGCUUGACUGCGAGAGUGACGGCUCGAGCAGGUGCGAAAGCAGGUCAUAGUGAUCCGGUGGUUCUGAAUGGAAGGGCCAUCGCUCAACGGAUAAAAGGUACUCCGGGGAUAACAGGCUGAUACCGCCCAAGAGUUCAUAUCGACGGCGGUGUUUGGCACCUCGAUGUCGGCUCAUCACAUCCUGGGGCUGAAGUAGGUCCCAAGGGUAUGGCUGUUCGCCAUUUAAAGUGGUACGCGAGCUGGGUUUAGAACGUCGUGAGACAGUUCGGUCCCUAUCUGCCGUGGGCGCUGGAGAAUUGAGGGGGGCUGCUCCUAGUACGAGAGGACCGGAGUGGACGCAUCACUGGUGUUCGGGUUGUCAUGCCAAUGGCACUGCCCGGUAGCUAAAUGCGGAAGAGAUAAGUGCUGAAAGCAUCUAAGCACGAAACUUGCCCCGAGAUGAGUUCUCCCUGAGACUUAAAGUCUCC
RNAcentral lists this ribosomal RNA (572 nucleotides) under Enterobacter cloacae. Its description in RNAcentral is "partial 23S ribosomal RNA". It matches the Rfam family "Bacterial large subunit ribosomal RNA", at positions 2261 to 2828 of the family's 2925-position model. The record is from RNAcentral. Lineage: Bacteria; Pseudomonadati; Pseudomonadota; Gammaproteobacteria; Enterobacterales; Enterobacteriaceae.